RNAcentral lists this ribosomal RNA (450 nucleotides) under uncultured bacterium. RNAcentral describes it as "partial 16S ribosomal RNA". It matches the Rfam family "Bacterial small subunit ribosomal RNA", at positions 354 to 796 of the family's 1533-position model. The record is from RNAcentral.
GUGGGGAAUAUUGGACAAUGGGCGAAAGCCUGAUCCAGCCAUGCCGCGUGUGUGAAGAAGGUCUUCGGAUUGUAAAGCACUUUAAGUUGGGAGGAAGGGCAUUAACCUAAUACGUUAGUGUUUUGACGUUACCGACAGAAUAAGCACCGGCUAACUUCGUGCCAGCAGCCGCGGUAAUACGAAGGGUGCAAGCGUUAAUCGGAAUUACUGGGCGUAAAGCGCGCGUAGGUGGUUCGUUAAGUUGGAUGUGAAAGCCCCGGGCUCAACCUGGGAAAUGCAGCCAAAACUGGCGAGCUAGAGUACGGUAGAGGGUGGUGGAAUUUCCUGUGUAGCGGUGAAAUGCGUAGAUAUAGGAAGGAACACCAGUGGCGAAGGCGACCACCUGGACUGAUACUGACACUGAGGUGCGAAAGCGUGGGGAGCAAACAGGAUUAGAUACCCUUGUAGUCC